CCUACGGGGGGCAGCAGUGGGGAAUAUUGGACAAUGGGGGGAACCCUGAUCCAGCAACGCCGCGUGAGUGAAGAAGGUUUUCGGUUUGUAAAGCUCUAUUGGCAGAGAAGAAAAUGACGGUAUCUGACUAAUAAGCCCCGGCUAACUACGUGCCAGCAGCCGCGGUAAUACGUAGGGGGCAAGCGUUAUCCGGAUUUACUGGGUGUAAAGGGAGCGUAGACGGUGUAGCAAGUCUGAUGGGAAAGGGCGGGGCCGAACCCCGGGACUGCAUUGGAAACUGUUGAACUGGAGUGCAGGAGAGGUAAGCGGAAUUCCUGGUGUAGCGGUGAAAUGCGUAGAUAUUAGGAGGAACACCAGUGGCGAAGGCGGCUUACUGGACUGUAACUGACGUUGAGGCUCGAAAGCGUGGGGAGCAAACAGGAUUAGAUACCCUUGUAGUC
RNAcentral lists this ribosomal RNA (440 nucleotides) under uncultured bacterium. RNAcentral's name for it is "partial 16S ribosomal RNA". It matches the Rfam family "Bacterial small subunit ribosomal RNA", at positions 338 to 795 of the family's 1533-position model. The record is from RNAcentral.